CAGCCGCCACGGUAAUACAGAGGAUGCAAGCGUUAUCCGGAAUGACUGGGCGUAAAGCGUCUGUAGGUGGCUUUUCAAGUCCGCCGUCAAAUCCCAGGGCUCAACCCUGGACAGGCGGUGGAAACUACCAAGCUGGAGUACGGUAGGGGCAGAGGGAAUUUCCGGUGGAGCGGUGAAAUGCGUUGAGGUCGGGAAGAACACCAACGGCGAAAGCACUCUGCUGGGCCGACACUGACACUGAGAGACGAAAGCUAGGGGAGCAAAUGGGAUUAGAUACCCCUGUAGUCCCUGUCUCUUAUAC
This 301-nucleotide ribosomal RNA is filed under the name uncultured bacterium. RNAcentral's name for it is "partial 16S ribosomal RNA". It matches the Rfam family "Bacterial small subunit ribosomal RNA", at positions 509 to 807 of the family's 1533-position model. The record is from RNAcentral.